Molecule: transfer RNA, 63 nt
Filed under: Velarifictorus hemelytrus
Lineage: Eukaryota; Metazoa; Arthropoda; Insecta; Orthoptera; Gryllidae
Description: tRNA-Ser
Rfam family: tRNA
About the family: Transfer RNA (tRNA) molecules are approximately 80 nucleotides in length. Their secondary structure includes four short double-helical elements and three loops (D, anti-codon, and T loops).
Source: RNAcentral
AGUUAAUAAGCUUUAAAGCAUUUGUUUUGAAAACAAAAGAUAGAGGAUAGCUUCUAUUAACUU